This 64-nucleotide transfer RNA is filed under the name Eublaberus distanti. RNAcentral describes it as "tRNA-His". Lineage: Eukaryota; Metazoa; Arthropoda; Insecta; Blattodea; Blaberidae. The record is from RNAcentral.
ACUUGGGUAGUUUAAUAUAAAAUGUUGAUUUGUGGAAUCAAAGAUAUAGUAUAUAUCUCAGGUU